GAUGAAGAACGGCAGCGAAAUGCGAUAAGUAGUGUGAAUUGCAGAAUUCAGUGAAUCAUCGAAUCUUUGAACGCACAUUGCGCCCCUUGGUAUUCCAUGGGGCAUGCCUGUUCGAGCGUCAUUUGUACCUUCAAGCUCUGCUUGGUGUUGGGUGUUUGUCUCGCCUCUGCGCGUAGACUCGCCUCAAAACAAUUGGCAGCCGGCGUAUUGAUUUCGGAGCGCAGUACAUCUCGCGCUUUGCACUCAUAACGACGACGUCCAAAAGUACAUUUUUACACUCUUGACCUCGGAUCAGGUAGGGAUACCCGCUGAACUUAAGCAUAUCAAUAAGCGGAGGA
Molecule: unclassified non-coding RNA, 338 nt
Filed under: soil metagenome
Description: partial contains 5.8S ribosomal RNA, internal transcribed spacer 2, and large subunit ribosomal RNA
Rfam family: 5.8S ribosomal RNA (bases 1-121)
Source: RNAcentral